CCUGCUAGUAAGGAGGUUAGGAGAGGAAUGGACCACCGAGUGCUAGGGAACAGCCCUUAGAAAGCGUGGAGCGAACUCAUCGUUAGACGCAUUUAUGCCAAGCUCAGGGUGCUGUCUGCAUAUUUUACCCUUAGUUGGCCAGCCUGCAUGAUUGGCAGGCAGCCUGACAUGCAUUCAUGCCAGGCUGGCCUUCCAAUUCUUUAGGCAGACACGCCCCCUUUUUAAGGCAUGUUCGCCUCUUUCG
This is a non-coding RNA of Pelobates cultripes (western spadefoot toad), 244 nucleotides long. Lineage: Eukaryota; Metazoa; Chordata; Amphibia; Anura; Pelobatidae. The record is from the annotation of a GenBank genome assembly.